CUACGGGUCGCUGCAGUAGGGAAUAUUCCGCAAUGGACGAAAGUCUGACGGAGCGACACCGCGUGGAGGAUGACGGCCUAAGGGUUGUAAACUCCUUUUCUGUAGGAAGAAGAUCUGACGGUACUACAGGAAUAAGCCCCGGCUAAUUACGUGCCAGCAGCCGCGGUAAUACGUAAGGGGCAAGCGUUGACCGGAAUCAUUGGGCGUAAAGCGUCCGCAGGCGGAGAUGUAAGUCAGUUAUUAAAUACCGGAGCUCAACUUCGGUGCCGUAAUUGAAACUACAUUUCUAGAGGAUAGGAGAGGUGUGUGGAAUUGUGCAAGUAGGGGUAAAAUCCGUAGAUAUGCACAGGAAUACCAAAAGCGAAGGCAACACACUGGACUAUUCCUGACGCUCAGGGACGAAAGCGUAGGUAGCAAAACGGAUUAGAUACCCCGGUAGUC
Molecule: ribosomal RNA, 441 nt
Filed under: uncultured bacterium
Lineage: Bacteria
Description: partial 16S ribosomal RNA
Rfam family: Bacterial small subunit ribosomal RNA
Source: RNAcentral